UACGGAGGGUGCAAGCGUUAUCCGGAUUCACUGGGUUUAAAGGGUGCGUAGGUGGAUUGGUAAGUCAGUGGUGAAAUCUCUGGGCUUAACUCAGAAACUGCCAUUGAUACUAUCAGUCUUGAAUACCGUGGAGGUCAGCGGAAUAUGUCAUGUAGCGGUGAAAUGCUCAGAUAUGACAUAGAACACCAAUUGCGAAGGCAGCUGGCUACACGAAUAUUGACACUGAGGCACGAAAGCGUGGGGAUCAAACAGG
Molecule: ribosomal RNA, 253 nt
Filed under: uncultured bacterium
Lineage: Bacteria
Description: partial 16S ribosomal RNA
Rfam family: Bacterial small subunit ribosomal RNA
Source: RNAcentral